This is a small nuclear RNA of Acinonyx jubatus (cheetah), 105 nucleotides long. The record is from RefSeq and is a predicted model, not a curated record. Lineage: Eukaryota; Metazoa; Chordata; Mammalia; Carnivora; Felidae.
GAGCUCGGUUCAGCUGCACAUAUGCUAAAAUUGGAACGAUAUGGAGAAGAUUAGCGCGGCCCCUGCGCGAGGAUGACACAAAUUCGUGAAGCGUUCCAGAUUUUA